Molecule: long non-coding RNA, 2331 nt
Filed under: Macaca fascicularis (crab-eating macaque)
Lineage: Eukaryota; Metazoa; Chordata; Mammalia; Primates; Cercopithecidae
Description: lncRNA (ENSMFAG00000048401.1)
Source: RNAcentral
UUUUUUUUUUUUUUUUUUUUUUUACCUUUGUUGGUUUAAAGUUUGUUUUGUCAAAAAUUAGGAUUGUGACUCCUGCUUUUUUCUGAUUUCCAUUUUCUUCAUAAAUUUUCCUCCAUCCCUUUAUUUUGAGCCUAUGUGUGUCUUUGCACAUGUGAUGGGUCUCUUGAAGACAGCAUAUCGAUCGGUCUUGGCUCUUUAUCCAGCUUGCACUUCUGUGUCUUUCAAUUGGGGCAUUUAGCCUAUUUACAUUUGAUAUUAGUAUCAUUACAUGGGAAUGUGAUCCUGCCAUCAUGAUGCUAGCUGGUUAUUUUGCAGACUUGUUUAUGUGGUUGCUUUAUAGUGUCAUUGGUUCUGUGUACUUCAGUGUGUUUUCGCAGUGGCUGGUAAUUUUUUUUUCUUUCCAUAUUUAGUGCUUCCUUCAGGAACUCUUGCAAGGCAGGCCUGGUGGUGAUGAAUUCUUUCAGCAUUUGCUUGUCUGAAAAGGAUCUUAUUUCUUUGCACAUAAAGCUUACUUUGGCCAGAUAUUAAAUUUUGGCUAAGAAUUCUUUAAGAAUGCUGAAUAUUGACCCCCAAUAUCUUCUGGCUUGUAGGGUUUCCACUGAAAGGUCUGCUGUUAGUCUGAUGGGUUUCCCUUUUUAGGUGACCUGACCUUUCAUUCUCUCUGACUGCCCUUUACAUUUUUUCUUUAAUUUUGACCUUGGAGAAUCUGAUGAUUAUGUGUCUUGGGGUUGAUCUUCUCAUGGAGUAUCUUACUGAGGUUCUCUGCAUUUCCUGAAUUUGAAUGUUGGCCUGUCAUGCUAGGUUUGGAAAGUUCUCCUGGAUAACAUCCUAAAGUAUGUUUCCAACUUGUUUCCAUUAUCCCCAUCUCUUUCAGGUUCCCCAGUCAGUCAGUGGUUUGGUCUUUUUACAUAACUCCAUAUUAUUUUUUUGGAGGUUUUGUUCAUUACUCUUCAUUCUUUCCGUAUUCUUCUCUGCCUAUGUCAGAAAGAUAGUCUUUAAGCUCUGAGUCUCUUUCCUCUUCUUGGUCUAUUCUACUAUUGAUACUUGUGAUUGCAUUGUUAAGUUCUUGUGUUGUUUUUGGCUCCAUCAGGUCAGUUAUGUUCCUCUCUAAACUGGCUAUUCUGGUCAUCAGCUCUUGUAUUGUUUUAUCAUUGAUUCUUGGCUUCUUUGCAUUGGGUUAUGACAUGCUCCUUUAGCUCAGCAAAGUUCAUUAUUACCCAGGUUCUGAAGCCUACUUCUGUCAAUUCAGUCAUCUCAGCCUCACCCAGUUCUGUGCCUUUGCUGGAGAGGUGCUGCAGUCAUUUGGAGAAGAGGCAUUCUGGCUUUUUGAGUUUUCAGCAUUUUUUUGUGUUGAUUUCAUCAUCUUUGUGGGCUUAUCUACCUUCAAUCUUUGAGGUUGGUGACCUUUGAAUGGGGUUUUUGUGCGGUCUUUUUGUUGAUGUUCUUGUUGUUGUUUUCUGCCUGUUUUCUUUUAACAGUCAAGCCACUGACUGUUAGCAACUGUAGGGCUGCCACAGUUUGCUGGGGUCUGCUCAAGACCCUAGUUGCCUCGGUUUUUCCUGUGCCUUGAGGUAUCACCAGUGAAAGCUGCAAAACAGCAAAGAUGGCAGCCUUCUCCUUCCUUUGGAAGCUCUGUCCCAGGGCGGUACUGACCUGUUGCUGGCCUGAAGAUUCCUGUAAGAGGUGUCUAGAGACUCCUGUUGGGAGGUCUCACCCAGUCAGGAGGAACAGGAUCAGGGACCUACUUAUAGAAGCAGUCUGGCUGCUUUUGGUACAGCAGGUGUGCUAUGCUGGGGGAGGACCCUUCCUCAUCCAGAUUGCCCGGACUCUCCAAAGUGAGCAGGCUGGAACAGCUUUGUCAACUGAACCAUAGAGACAGUGGUCGCCUCUCCCCUGGGAGCUCCAUCCCAGACAGAGUUUAGAUUUCUGUCAGUAUAAGCCUGGCUGAAGUGACUGGAAGCCCCCCCAAAGGGAGGCACCAUAUAGUGGGGAGGAAUGGGUCAGGGUCCUACUUAAAGAACCAGUCUGGGCCAGGUGCAGUGGCUCAUGCCUGUAAUCCUAGCACUUUGGGAGGCUGAGGCAGGUGGAUCACCUGAGGUCAGAAGUUCAAGACCAGCCUGGUCAACACGGUGAAACCGUGUCUCUAUGAAAAAUGCAAAAAUUAGCGAGGUGUGGUGGUACCUGACUGUAAUCCCAGCUACUUGGGAGGCUGAGGCAGGAGAAUUGCUUGAACUCAACAGGUGGAGGUUGCCAAGAGCCAAGAGCAUGCCACUGCACUCCAGUCUGAGCAACGGAGUGAUAUUCUAGCUUAAAAAAAAAAAAAAAAAAAAA